Molecule: ribosomal RNA, 233 nt
Filed under: uncultured bacterium
Lineage: Bacteria
Description: partial 16S ribosomal RNA
Rfam family: Bacterial small subunit ribosomal RNA
Source: RNAcentral
CCACUCGUCCUUACUAGUGGACNCGCCGUACGAAGGCGUAUUAACUACGUAUGUUGUCAUGUUGAUGCAUAUUUUCAUGACCAAAGGCUUCGGCCGGUAAAGGAUGGGGAUGCGUCUGAUUAGCUUGCCGGCGGGGUAACGGCCCACCGGGGCGACGAUCAGUAGGGGUUCUGAGAGGAAGGUCCCCCACAUUGGAACUGAGACACGGUCCAAACUCCUACGGAAGGCAGCAG